UUGAAUUUCGGGAUCAAUAUUUCGGUCAUGCCGUUGGUAUGCACUGUUAUCAUUGAUUUCUCACCCUCUAAAGAACCGUAAUGCCAUUAAUUGGUGUUACGGGGAAUUUGGACUGUUACUUUGAAAAAAUUAGAGUGUUUAAAGCAAGCUAACGCUUGAAUACAUUAGCAUGGAAUAAUGAAAUAGGACGUUCGAUCCUAUUUUGUUGGUUUCUAGGAUUGACGUAAUGAUUAAUAGGGAUAGUUGGGGGCAUUAGUAUUCAAUUGUCAGAGGUGAAAUUCUUGGAUUUAUUGAAGACUAACUACUGCGAAAGCAUUUGCCAAGGAUGUUUUCAUUAAUCAAGAACGAAAGUUAGGGGAUCGAAGACGAUCAGAUACCGUCGUAGUCUUAACCAUAAACUAUGCCGACUAGGGAUCGGAUGAUGUUUAAUUUUUUAAUGACUC
Molecule: ribosomal RNA, 443 nt
Filed under: fungal sp.
Lineage: Eukaryota; Fungi
Description: SSU rRNA
Rfam family: Eukaryotic small subunit ribosomal RNA
Source: RNAcentral